RNAcentral lists this ribosomal RNA (432 nucleotides) under uncultured bacterium. RNAcentral's name for it is "partial 16S ribosomal RNA". It matches the Rfam family "Bacterial small subunit ribosomal RNA", at positions 29 to 506 of the family's 1533-position model. The record is from RNAcentral.
AACGAACGCUGGCGGCAUGCCUAACACAUGCAAGUCGAACGAGACCUUCGGGUCUAGUGGCGCACGGGUGCGUAACGCGUGGGAACCUGCCCUUAGGUUCGGAAUAACUCCCCGAAAGGGGUGCUAAUACCGGAUAAUGUCUUCGGACCAAAGAUUUAUCGCCUUUGGAUGGGCCCGCGUUGGAUUAGCUAGUUGGUAGGGUAAAAGCCUACCAAGGCGACGAUCCAUAGCUGGUCUGAGAGGAUGAUCAGCCACACUGGGACUGAGACACGGCCCAGACCUCCUCGGGGGGGCAGAGGGGGGAAAUAUUGACAAUGGGGCGAAAGCCUGAUCCACCAUGCCGGGUUGAGGGAUGAAGGCUUGGGGUUUGAAAACUUUUUUUCCCGGGAAUGAAAAGACAGGACCGGGAGAAAAAACCCCGGCCAACCCCGU